CCUACGGGUGGCAGCAGUGGGGAAUAUUGGACAAUGGGCGAAAGCCUGAUCCAGCCAUGCCGCGUGUGUGAAGAAGGCCUUCGGGUUGUAAAGCACUUUCAGUGGGGAAGAAAGCCUUGGGGCUAAUACCCUCGAGGAAGGACAUCACCCACAGAAGAAGCACCGGCUAACUCCGUGCCAGCAGCCGCGGUAAUACGGAGGGUGCGAGCGUUAAUCGGAAUUACUGGGCGUAAAGCGCGCGUAGGCGGUCUGAUAAGCCGGUUGUGAAAGCCCCGGGCUCAACCUGGGAACGGCAUCCGGAACUGUCAGGCUAGAGUGCAGGAGAGGAAGGUAGAAUUCCCGGUGUAGCGGUGAAAUGCGUAGAGAUCGGGAGGAAUACCAGUGGCGAAGGCGGCCUUCUGGACUGACACUGACGCUGAGGUGCGAAAGCGUGGGUAGCAACCAGGAUUAGAUACCCUAGUAGUC
This 465-nucleotide ribosomal RNA is filed under the name Vreelandella stevensii. Its description in RNAcentral is "partial 16S ribosomal RNA". It matches the Rfam family "Bacterial small subunit ribosomal RNA", at positions 338 to 795 of the family's 1533-position model. The record is from RNAcentral. Lineage: Bacteria; Pseudomonadati; Pseudomonadota; Gammaproteobacteria; Oceanospirillales; Halomonadaceae.